AGAGUAUCGGAGAGGAAAGUGGAAUUCCUAGUGUAGCGGUGAAAUGCGUAGAUAUUAGGAAGAACACCAGUGGCGAAGGCGACUUUCUGGACGAAAACUGACGCUGAGGCGCGAAAGCCAGGGGAGCGAACGGGAUUAGAUACCCCGGUAGUCCUGGCCGUAAACGAUGGGUACUAGGUGUAGGAGGUAUCGACCCCUUCUGUGCCGGAGUUAACGCAAUAAGUACCCCGCCUGGGGAGUACGACCGCAAGGUUGAAACUCAAAGGAAUUGACGGGGGCCCGCACAAGCGGUGGAGUAUGUGGUUUAAUUCGACGCAACGCGAAGAACCUUACCAGGUCUUGACAUUGAUGGACAGAACUAGAGAUAGUUCCUCUUCUUCGGAAGCCAGAAAACAGGUGGUGCACGGUUGUCGUCAGCUCGUGUCGUGAGAUGUUGGGUUAAGUCCCGCAACGAGCGCAACCC
RNAcentral lists this ribosomal RNA (463 nucleotides) under Streptococcus pneumoniae. RNAcentral's name for it is "bacterial SSU rRNA". It matches the Rfam family "Bacterial small subunit ribosomal RNA", at positions 643 to 1104 of the family's 1533-position model. The record is from RNAcentral. Lineage: Bacteria; Bacillati; Bacillota; Bacilli; Lactobacillales; Streptococcaceae.